Molecule: non-coding RNA, 46 nt
Organism: Schistosoma haematobium
Lineage: Eukaryota; Metazoa; Platyhelminthes; Trematoda; Strigeidida; Schistosomatidae
Source: Rfam
GCACUGCUGAGGAGUCCCACAAUAGAACGAAACGGCUAUCCAGUAU